UACAUGGGGUGCAAACGUUGCUCGGAAUUAUUGGGCGUAAAGCGCACGUAGGCGGUUUGUUAAGUCGGAUGUGAAAUCCCUCGGCUCAACUGAGGAAGUGCAUCCGAAACUGGCAAGCUUGAGUACGAAAGAGGGUCGCGGAAUUCCCGGUGUAGAGGUGAAAUUCGUGGAUAUCGGGAGGAACACCGGUGGCGAAGGCGGCGACCUGGGUCGAUACUGACGCUGAGGUGCGAAAGCGUGGGGAGCAAACAGG
This 253-nucleotide ribosomal RNA is filed under the name uncultured bacterium. Its description in RNAcentral is "partial 16S ribosomal RNA". It matches the Rfam family "Bacterial small subunit ribosomal RNA", at positions 524 to 776 of the family's 1533-position model. The record is from RNAcentral.